UACGUAGGGGGCAAGCGUUGUCCGGAAUCAUUGGGCGUAAAGAGCGUGUAGGCGGCCACGCAGGUCCGUUGUGAAAACUGGAGGCUCAACCUCCAGCUGUCGACGGAAACCGUGUGGCUAGAGUCCGGAAGAGGAGAGUGGAAUUCCUGGUGUAGCGGUGAAAUGCGCAGAUAUCAGGAAGAACACCAAUGGCGAAGGCAGCUCUCUGGGACGGUACUGACGCUGAGACGCGAAAGCGUGGGGAGCGAACAGG
This 253-nucleotide ribosomal RNA is filed under the name uncultured bacterium. RNAcentral's name for it is "partial 16S ribosomal RNA". It matches the Rfam family "Bacterial small subunit ribosomal RNA", at positions 524 to 776 of the family's 1533-position model. The record is from RNAcentral.